This 72-nucleotide transfer RNA is filed under the name Pangasianodon gigas (Mekong giant catfish). RNAcentral's name for it is "tRNA-Cys". It matches the Rfam family "tRNA". From Rfam's summary of the family: Transfer RNA (tRNA) molecules are approximately 80 nucleotides in length. The record is from RNAcentral. Lineage: Eukaryota; Metazoa; Chordata; Actinopteri; Siluriformes; Pangasiidae.
GGGGGUAUAGCUCAGUGGUAGAGCAUUUGACUGCAGGUUAAGCGGUCCUUAGUUCAAAUCUGGGUGCCCCCU